RNAcentral lists this transfer RNA (59 nucleotides) under Phintella cavaleriei. RNAcentral's name for it is "tRNA-Ala". Lineage: Eukaryota; Metazoa; Arthropoda; Arachnida; Araneae; Salticidae. The record is from RNAcentral.
UCAAAGGUAGUUUAUGACUAAUUUGCAUUUAGUCGAUAUGAUGUAAUCAUACUAUUGUG